This 820-nucleotide ribosomal RNA is filed under the name uncultured eukaryote. RNAcentral's name for it is "SSU rRNA". It matches the Rfam family "Eukaryotic small subunit ribosomal RNA", at positions 629 to 1426 of the family's 1831-position model. The record is from RNAcentral.
CGGUGUUUAACUGGCGUGAUGUGGGACGUCCUACCGGUGGGCUUAGCCUCGCGAGGGGCGGCCCAACUAAUAUCCCGUCGCGGUGCUCUUUACUGAGUGUCGAGUCGGGCCGGUACGUUUACUUUGAACAAAUUAGAGUGCUUAAAGCAGGCUAUCCUCGCCUGAAUACUGCGUGCAUGGAAUAAUGGAAUAGGACCUCGGUUCUAUUUUGUUGGUUUUCGGAACCCCGAGGUAAUGAUUAAUAGGGACAGAUGGGGGCAUUCGUAUUGCGACGUUAGAGGUGAAAUUCUUGGGAUCGUCGCAAGACGGACAGAAGCGAAAGCAUUUGCCAAAAAUGUUUUCAUUAAUCAAGAACGAAAGUUAGAGGUUCGAAGGCGAUCAGAUACCGCCCUAGUUCUAACCAUAAACGAUGCCAGCUAGCGAUCCGCCGAAGUUCCUCCGAUGACUCGGCGGGCAGCUUCCGGGAAACCAAAGCUUUUGGGUUCCGGGGGAAGUAUGGUUGCAAAGCUGAAACUUAAAGGAAUUGACGGAAGGGCACCACCAGGAGUGGAGCCUGCGGCUUAAUUUGACUCAACACGGGAAACCUCACCAGGCCCAGACACCGGAAGGAUUGACAGAUUGAUAGCUCUUUCUUGAUUCGGUGGGUGGUGGUGCAUGGCCGUUCUUAGUUGGUGGAGCGAUUUGUCUGGUUAAUUCCGAUAACGAACGAGACUCUAGCCUGCUAAAUAGGCGUACCUUAUGGUAUCGCGAAGGCCCCCGGCUUCGGCCGGUGGGUUUUUACUACCAACGUACAAACAAAUCUUCUUAGAGGGACAGGCGG